UCAAUUCGCAUUCUAUUCCGUACAGUGAUAUCUUUCCUUCUUUUUGGGUCACCAACCCGUAACUGUUUGGAGUUUAAAUUGGGAGUACCCUAUGGGUACGAGGCUUGACCGGAGGCUUGUUUCCGGUACCACGGGUAAUCAGGAGCCCGCGGAACCUUGUUUCCGUCCUGGUUUUUGGUUGCGGCCCUUCGGGGAGUUUCGUGGUGGCUGUGGUUUGACACCCAAAUGCGGGUAGAGCAAUUCACUCGGCGUGUUGUUGCGCUAUACAACAGGGUGCCGUGACCCAUAGAUCGGAAGUCGUUUUAGGUAGGCGGCCCUCCAAACCAAGGUGGAAGUCCACGACCAAACAGUAGUGACUUCAAAUUGGUACCUGCGGAAUAUUAGUUCCAAUGGGGCGGUAAUUGACGCUUAAAUUAAUUCCUGUGCUUAGCACCGUGAGAUUAAGCCAUCCCGGCAGGUGCUCACGUUAAACCAAUUGACUUUAAUUGUCCCUAUCUACUAUCUAGCGAAACCACAGCCAAGGGAACGGGCUUGGAAUAAUUAGCGGGGAAAGAAGACCCUUUUGAGCUUGACUCUAAUCUGGCAGUGUAAGGAGACAUAAGAGGUGUAGAAUAAGUGGGAGAUAUUAGACUUCGGUUUGGUAUCGACAAUGAAAUACCACUACUCUUAUUGUUUCCUUACUUACUUGAUUAAAUGGAACGUGUAUCAUUUCAUAGCCAUUAUACGGAUGUAUUUAUUAUAUCUUAUGGUAUUGGGUUUUGAUGCAAGCUUCUUGAUCAAAGUAUCACGAGUUUGUUAUAUAAUCGCAAACAAAUUCUUUAAUAAGAAAAUGCAUUUAUGUAUUUUUGAUUUAAAAAUUUGGGUAUAACUCCAAUUACUCAGAUAUGAUCCAAUUCAAGGACAUUGCCAGGGUAGGGAGUUUGACUGGGGCGGUACAUCUCUCAAAUAAUAACGGAGGUGUCCCAAGGCCAGCUCAGUGCGGACAGAAACCACACAUAGAGCAAAAGGGCAAAUGCUGACUUGAUCUCGGUGUUCAGUACACACAGGGACAGCAAAAGCUCGGCCUAUCGAUCCUUUUGGUUUAAAGGAGUUUUUAACCAGGAGGUGUCAGAAAAGUUACCAUAAGGGAUUAACUGGCUUGGUGGCGGUCAAGCGUUUCAUAGCGACGUUCCCUUUUUUGAUCCUUCNNNNNNNNNNNNNNNNNNNNNNNNNNNNNNNNNNNNNNN
RNAcentral lists this non-coding RNA (1226 nucleotides) under Drosophila grimshawi. Its description in RNAcentral is "Eukaryotic large subunit ribosomal RNA". It matches the Rfam family "Eukaryotic large subunit ribosomal RNA", at positions 2036 to 2984 of the family's 3401-position model. The record is from Rfam by way of RNAcentral. Lineage: Eukaryota; Metazoa; Arthropoda; Insecta; Diptera; Drosophilidae.